This 1457-nucleotide ribosomal RNA is filed under the name uncultured Bordetella sp. Its description in RNAcentral is "partial 16S-23S ribosomal RNA intergenic spacer". It matches the Rfam family "Bacterial small subunit ribosomal RNA". The record is from RNAcentral. Lineage: Bacteria; Pseudomonadati; Pseudomonadota; Betaproteobacteria; Burkholderiales; Alcaligenaceae.
ACGCUGGCGGGAUGUAAACUUUACACAUGCAAGUCGAACGGCACGGACUUCGGUCUGGUGGCGAGUGGCGAACGGGUGGGUAAUGUAUCGGAACGUGCUAAAUAACUGAAGAUAACUACGCGAAAGCGUAGCUAAUGCCGCAUACGCCCUUCGGGGAAAGCGGGGGACCUUCGGGCCUCGCACUAUUAGAGCGGCCGAUAUCGGAUUAUGCAGCAGUUGGUGGAGGAUAGCGCCGUCACCAAGGCGACGAUCCGUAGCUGGUUUGAAGGACGACCAGCCACACACUGGAUUUGAACUGGCCCGGGCUCUACAGAGGCAGUAGUCAGGCCCGGACAAAGCGGAAGCCUGAUCCAAUGUCAUCCGCGUGUGCGAUGAAGGCCUUCGGGUUGUAAAGCACUUUUUUGGCGGAAAAAACGGCCUGGGAUAAUACCCCGUGCGCAUUUGGCGAUGCGAACUGGCGCAACUAACUACGUGCCAGCAGCCGCGGUAAUACGUAAGUGCAAGCGUUAAUCGGAAUUACUGGAGCGUAAAGCGUGCGCAGGCGGUUCGGAAAGGAAAGAUGUGAAAUCCCAGGCUUAACUGGAACUGCAUUUUUAACUACCGAGCUAGAGUGUGUCAGAGGGAGGUGGAAUUCCGCGUGUAGCAUUGAAGAAAUGCGUAGAUAUGCGGAGGAACACCGAUGGCGAAGGCAGCCUCCUGGGAUAACGGCUAUGCACGGCGUGGGGAGCAAGGCAGGACGAUGCCUGGUGAUCCACGCCUAAACGAUGUCAACUAGCUGUUGGGGCCUUCGGGCCUUGGUAGCGAAAACAGCUAACGCGUGAGAUUGACCGCCUGCGAAUUACGGUCGCAAGAUUAAAACUCAAAGGAAUUGACGGGGACCCGCACAAGCGGUGGAUGAUGUGGAUUAAUUCGAUGCAACGCGAAAAACCUUACACCUACCCUUGACAUGUCUGGAAUCCCGAAGAGAUUUGGGAGUGCUCGCAAAGAGAACCGGAACACAGGUGCUGCAUGGCUGUCGUCAGCUCGUGUCGUGAGAUGUUGGAGGUUAAGUCCCGCAACGAGCACGCAACCCUUGUCAUUAGUUGCUACGAAAGGGCACUCUAAUGAGACUGCCGGUGACAAACCGGAGGAAGGUGGGGAUGACGUCAAGUCCUCAUAGCCAUACUGAGCGGGCUUCACGUCCGCCUUACAAUGGUCGGGACAGAGGGUCGCCAACCGCGAAGGGGAGCCAAUCCCAGAAACCCGAUGUAGUCCGGAUCGCGUCCAACUCAGACUGCGUGAAGUCAGAAUCUUCAGCCGUCAGGAUCUUCUAUCGCGAUGUGAGACACAGACUGGUCUUGUACACACCGCCCGUCACACCAUGGGAGUGGGUUUUUUUAGAAGUAGUUAGCCUAACCGUAAGGAGGGCGAUUACCACGGUAGGAUUCAUGACUGGGGUGAAGUCGUAACAAAGGUAA